GGUGCCAUGGAGAUGGGUCUCUCUACACUCAUCAUCAAAUCACUAUUUAGAACUCAUCAUUCAAAGCUAAAGGUGACCAUAAAACUAGAUUGUACUAUGCUCAACACAAACAUACAGAAUCAUACAACAAAACAGCUCUUUCAGGCAUUUCGUCGAACACCUUCCGUUCACUAUAUAAAUAUUUCACUCAAACUACAAUUCAAAUCAAACUUCCUUCGAAAAUAUAUAUCCAAACAAGUUUCCAGAUCAAUUUCACGAAAUUUCCAUGGAAGAAAAAAUACCUUUGAGUCUCUCGUCGAUGGCCA
This is a long non-coding RNA of Arabidopsis thaliana (thale cress), 305 nucleotides long. RefSeq annotates it as other RNA. The transcript has a single exon. NCBI's taxonomy places the organism in Eukaryota, Viridiplantae, Streptophyta, Magnoliopsida, Brassicales, Brassicaceae. The record is from RefSeq.